GGGUCUGUGAGGCUCAGGCCUUGCCCCAGGUUGGCAUGGCAGGAUUCCCUCCAUGGCCUGCAGCCUCCAGUGCAUAAGAUGGAUGUGUCCCAGCCCAUAUGGAUGUGGUGGGCCCAGAGACCAGAUGUCAGCGCAUUGAUUACAUGCCUGGAAAAGCACAGGGGCCUCCCAGGGACUCCUCCUGGGUACUGGUGUCUAUGACUACUAUAAAAGGAAUUGUUCACACGCUGGCGAGAAAACAAGAAUCCCUUUUUGUGAAAAGUAACUUGGCUUCACCUUUGGUUUCCAUUCAACAUCCAAUGCAACUGAAGCGUUCUCCACUGUAAACAGAGCAUAAGCAGAGCAAACACUUUAAUCUGGAUCUUCUACAUUUUUUGAGAUUGGGCAGAUUUAAGGAGCUCCUUUCAAGCUGGGCUGGGCUGAGAUCAUCUCACUGUGGUCUCUGCAGCAAGGAGUGCUGACUUCCUUCUCGAUUCCCACCUUGAACAGACAUCCUCAUGUUUCCCUUAUGAACUAAUCAGCUUUGGUUUCGGUAAGACAGCCUGGAAAGGCUGGGGAGCUGGCUCAGACUUUGUAAACCCAGGAAUGCCACAGACAGAAUAGCUGUACAUCUAGCAGUAUUUUCUCCCGUACUGAGGAGACGGGCACGCUUUACGGUUAUUCCCGACUUCAGCAAUACUCAUUUAUGACAGAAUGUCUCCUGGAUCCUACCAGCUUAUUUACAGUGUCCACCAUCUAGAAACUUCAUGAGGUGUACUCCAACACCUCAAAAAAGCCUGACUAUAUAAUGUUACCAAUCUUUAAAAAAAUAAUAACAAUAACGGAAUGAAAUUAAAAAUAAUAAUUUUUCCAACAACUCAGCAAGAGCUGGGAAGCUGUGAGCUUUGCUCAGAGAGAAAAUAAUUCAUGAACAGUCUUUUAUAGGGAACAUGCAAAAAAUUGUUUAAAAUGAGAGAAAAACAUGAAGUGCUGAAUGUGUAUUGCAAGAGCUGGAAUAGGGUUGGAAGUAGGACAGAUAGACAGAAGCCCUAGACUUUUCCACAGGUUUUUUGAAGCAUAUGUCAUUAGCUACUCGGUCAACGUAAUCACAGGUCUUGCUGCUGCAGGAAUGUUUAUUAGAGAAAUGUAAGAAUCUUGUAUCUGAUUAGGUCCAGUAAGGAAAUAUUCCUUUUUCCUCCCCUCUCCCUCCCUCCAUCCCUUUAGCUUUUUUCCUCAUCUCCUGUGACUGCAACCCAUGACCUUCACAAGAAAAGGCCUGUGCUUUGAUAGCAGGCUGCAAGCCCCCAAGGACCAGCACAGCUUUCUGGGAGAAAAAAAAAAAAAAAAACUGUUGCCUUGCUCAGAAUCCAAUCGAAAUCUGAAUGUGCCAAGGAAAAAAAUAAACCAAGGACAUUAUUCCAUCUCAUUGUGAUUUGGCUUGCCUUCAAAUCACAUACCCAGUAUAUCUGAAAUAGCAGCAACGCCUCCAUUAGCUGAGCCUUCCAGCACUUUAAUCAAAGUAUCUUUCAGAAUAAAGAGGCAGAAAUGUCAAAUUCCAAUCACCCUUUAAAUUCCUCCAAUUCCCUGCACUACACAAAAUUAAAAGCCUUACGCGUGGCUAAUUUCCCUUACAAGUGCGUGUGCACGCAGGCACUCAGCAGAGGUGGCGGGCAUCCAUUUUAGAUGCAGCAAGGCCCCAAGGGGCAUGGCAAAGAGGGCAGGCCUCUGGUGGGCACUGCAGACCCACAGUCACACGCUGGCAGCCCUGACAUCUCACAUGGGAUGGUAGCCUCCGCACUGUGCAGGAAACAUGCAUUUGGCGUCUUCCAUCAGGACAGUGCCACAUAUCUCAUCCAGUGUAUCCUUCAAGGAAAUACCUUCUUUUUAAGAUUACUUUCUCAAGCCUCACCAACAGCAAGAUAAAUUAUGUGGUCAGAAGAAGCAGGCACAGAAUUCGAUGAGUCCAGCUGGAACUCUGACUCAGAUGGCUCUUGUUCCAUGGGUCCCUGGGGGUGUCCCAGGAUCUUUUAGAAAAGGCAGGGUAAGAAAAUGGGCUCCUUAUUUGGGUCUUCAUUUAGGUCGUAUCUCUAGAUGCUGCAGAAUUUCAAACUACAAGCAGCAUAUAUUAUUCUUUGUUUAUUUUGUUUGUUUUUUAAAAGGAAUCUCCAAGCCAUUGGUGUACAUCAUCAAAAAAUACUGCAGAAAACAAAACCACCCUAAGGACUAGCGUAUUUAUGUAAUUUUUUCUAUGAGGAAACUUUCACGCCUAUCAUUUUUAUGGCUAGACUUAUCCUAGUUUAUCUGUUAAGAUAAUCACCCUUUAAAAACACCUUUAUGAAAUGUGCCACCUUAAUUGUCAUGUAACAUAUACUGACGUAAGUAUAUAUUCAAAAUUAUAAAGACA
Molecule: long non-coding RNA, 2383 nt
Organism: Gallus gallus (chicken)
Lineage: Eukaryota; Metazoa; Chordata; Aves; Galliformes; Phasianidae
Exons: 3
Source: RefSeq, a predicted model, not a curated record